UACAGAGGUCCCGAGCGUUGUUCGGAUUCAUUGGGCGUAAAGGGUGCGUAGGCGGUCUGCUAAGUUUGAUGUGAAAUCCCGGGGCUCAACCCUGGAAUGGCAUUGAAUACUGGCGGACUAGAGUACCGGAGAGGAAACUGGAAUUUACGGUGUAGCGGUGAAAUGCGUAGAUAUCAAGAGGAACACCUGAGGUGAAGACGGGUUGCUGGGCCAACACUGACGCUGAUGCGCGAAAGCCAGGGGAGCAAACGGG
RNAcentral lists this ribosomal RNA (253 nucleotides) under uncultured bacterium. Its description in RNAcentral is "partial 16S ribosomal RNA". It matches the Rfam family "Bacterial small subunit ribosomal RNA", at positions 524 to 776 of the family's 1533-position model. The record is from RNAcentral.